CAGCAGUCGCCGCGGUAACACCGAGGGUGCAAGCGUUAAUCGGAAUUACUGGGCGUAAAGCGCGCGUAGGUGGUUUGUUAAGUUGGAUGUGAAAGCCCCGGGCUCAACCUGGGAACUGCAUCCAAAACUGGCAAGCUAGAGUACGGUAGAGGGUGGUGGAAUUUCCUGUGUAGCGGUGAAAUGCGUAGAUAUAGGAAGGAACACCAGUGGCGAAGGCGACCACCUGGACUGAUACUGACACUGAGGUGCGAAAGCGUGGGGAGCAAACAGGAUUAGAUACCCCUGUAGUCCCUGUCUCUUAUAA
This 304-nucleotide ribosomal RNA is filed under the name uncultured bacterium. RNAcentral describes it as "partial 16S ribosomal RNA". It matches the Rfam family "Bacterial small subunit ribosomal RNA", at positions 509 to 809 of the family's 1533-position model. The record is from RNAcentral.